RNAcentral lists this transfer RNA (73 nucleotides) under Conolophus subcristatus (Galapagos land iguana). RNAcentral's name for it is "tRNA-Asn". The record is from RNAcentral. Lineage: Eukaryota; Metazoa; Chordata; Lepidosauria; Squamata; Iguanidae.
CAGACAGAAGCCCGCUGGCUUGGGUGUUUAGCUGUUAACUAAUUUUUUGUGGGAUCAAGGCCCGCCUGUCUAG